AGAGUUUGAUCAUGGCUCAGGACGAACGCUGGCGGCGUGCCUAAUACAUGCAAGUCGAGCGGACUUUAAAAGCUUGCUUUUAAAGUUAGCGGCGGACGGGUGAGUAACACGUGGGCAACCUGCCUGUAAGACUGGGAUAACUUCGGGAAACCGGAGCUAAUACCGGAUAACCCUUUUCCUCUCAUGAGGAAAAGCUGAAAGACGGUUUACGCUGUCACUUACAGAUGGGCCCGCGGCGCAUUAGCUAGUUGGUGAGGUAACGGCUCACCAAGGCGACGAUGCGUAGCCGACCUGAGAGGGUGAUCGGCCACACUGGGACUGAGACACGGCCCAGACUCCUACGGGAGGCAGCAGUAGGGAAUCUUCCGCAAUGGACGAAAGUCUGACGGAGCAACGCCGCGUGAGUGAUGAAGGUUUUCGGAUCGUAAAACUCUGUUGUUAGGGAAGAACAAGUACAAGAGUAACUGCUUGUACCUUGACGGUACCUAACCAGAAAGCCACGGCUAACUACGUGCCAGCAGCCGCGGUAAUACGUAGGUGGCAAGCGUUGUCCGGAAUUAUUGGGCGUAAAGCGCGCGCAGGCGGUCCUUUAAGUCUGAUGUGAAAGCCCACGGCUCAACCGUGGAGGGUCAUUGGAAACUGGGGGACUUGAGUGCAGAAGAGAAGAGUGGAAUUCCACGUGUAGCGGUGAAAUGCGUAGAGAUGUGGAGGAACACCAGUGGCGAAGGCGACUCUUUGGUCUGUAACUGACGCUGAGGCGCGAAAGCGUGGGGAGCAAACAGGAUUAGAUACCCCUGGUAGUCCACGCCGUAAACGAUGAGUGCUAAGUGUUAGAGGGUUUCCGCCCUUUAGUGCUGCAGCAAACGCAUUAAGCACUCCGCCUGGGGAGUACGGCCGCAAGGCUGAAACUCAAAGGAAUUGACGGGGGCCCGCACAAGCGGUGGAGCAUGUGGUUUAAUUCGAGGCAACGCGAAGAACCUUACCAGGUCUUGACAUCCUCUGACACUCCUAGAGAUAGGACGUUCCCCUUCGGGGGACAGAGUGACAGGUGGUGCAUGGUUGUCGUCAGCUCGUGUCGUGAGAUGUUGGGUUAAGUCCCGCAACGAGCGCAACCCUUGAUCUUAGUUGCCAGCAUUCAGUUGGGCACUCUAAGGUGACUGCCGGUGACAAACCGGAGGAAGGUGGGGAUGACGUCAAAUCAUCAUGCCCCUUAUGACCUGGGCUACACACGUGCUACAAUGGAUGGUACAAAGGGCAGCAAAACCGCGAGGUCGAGCAAAUCCCAUAAAACCAUUCUCAGUUCGGAUUGUAGGCUGCAACUCGCCUACAUGAAGCUGGAAUCGCUAGUAAUCGCGGAUCAGCAUGCCGCGGUGAAUACGUUCCCGGGCCUUGUACACACCGCCCGUCACACCACGAGAGUUUGUAACACCCGAAGUCGGUGGGGUAACCUUUUGGAGCCAGCCGCCUAAGGUGGGAUAGAUGAUUGGGGUGAAGUCGUAACAAGGUAACCGUA
RNAcentral lists this ribosomal RNA (1513 nucleotides) under uncultured Bacillus sp. RNAcentral describes it as "bacterial SSU rRNA". It matches the Rfam family "Bacterial small subunit ribosomal RNA". The record is from RNAcentral. Lineage: Bacteria; Bacillati; Bacillota; Bacilli; Caryophanales; Bacillaceae.